Molecule: ribosomal RNA, 460 nt
Filed under: uncultured bacterium
Lineage: Bacteria
Description: partial 16S ribosomal RNA
Rfam family: Bacterial small subunit ribosomal RNA
Source: RNAcentral
CCUACGGGAGGCAGCAGUGAGGAAUAUUGGUCAAUGGACGCAAGUCUGAACCAGCCAUGCCGCGUGCAGGAUGACGGCUCUAUGAGUUGUAAACUGCUUUUGUACGAGGGUAAACCCCGAUACGUGUAUCGGGUUGAAAGUAUCGUACGAAUAAGGAUCGGCUAACUCCGUGCCAGCAGCCGCGGUAAUACGGAGGAUCCGAGCGUUAUCCGGAUUUAUUGGGUUUAAAGGGUGCGUAGGCGGUUUGAUAAGUUAGAGGUGAAAUGUCGGGGCUCAACCGCGAAACUGCCUCUAAUACUGGUAGACUAGAGAAUAGUUGCGGUAGGCGGAAUGUAUGGUGUAGCGGUGAAAUGCUUAGAGAUCAUACAGAACACCGAUUGCGAAGGCAGCUUACCAAACUAUAUCUGACGUUGAGGCACGAAAGCGUGGGUAGCAAACAGGAUUAGAUACCCGUGUAGUC